ACCAAACCAAAUGACUGUUCUAGAUUCGAAAAGUCUCUCUGAUCAAGAGAUAAUCGAUUUCUUUUCUGAAAUAAAAAUGCACUUCAAUAGGGCAAUUAAAGAUGAAAAGGAGAAAGCAUUUUUCAUUUUUGUAUCGGAUUUCUGCUGUCAGGAUUUAAUCAACAAACGUGGUAAUCCCAUUACGAAUAGAAAAGAAAAACGUGACGAAAAUGAUAAUUAAAUUAUGGAUGUUAGAAGGUGCAAAAUCGAUAUGAAUGGAAGAUUAAGUGAAGGGGAGUUGCCAAUACCUCUUAUAUUCCAUAGAAUUCCACCUAUCAUGAGGAAACAUGUCGAGGAGGAGAUUGAGAAGGCUUAUUGUGAGACCUCAAAUGCAUUGUUGUUCCAGCACCAACAGUAGUAGCUGAUUUCUUUUUCUGCUUUCCUU
This 424-nucleotide long non-coding RNA is filed under the name Panax ginseng (ginseng). RNAcentral's name for it is "long non-coding RNA (PGIN_LNC015689)". The record is from RNAcentral. Lineage: Eukaryota; Viridiplantae; Streptophyta; Magnoliopsida; Apiales; Araliaceae.